GAUCCUGGCUCAGGAUGAACGCUAGCUACAGGCUUAACACAUGCAAGUCGAGGGGAAACGACAUCGAAAGCUUGCUUUUGAUGGGCGUCGACCGGCGCACGGGUGAGUAACGCGUAUCCAACCUGCCCACCACUUGGGGAUAACCUUGCGAAAGUAAGACUAAUACCCAAUGAUAUCCCACGAAGGCAUCCGAAUGGGAUUAAAGAUUUAUCGGUGAUGGAUGGGGAUGCGUCUGAUUAGCUUGUUGGCGGGGUAACGGCCCACCAAGGCAACGAUCAGUAGGGGUUCUGAGAGGAAGGUCCCCCCACAUUGGAACUGAGACACGGUCCAAACUCCUACGGGAGGCAGCAGUGAGGAAUAUUGGUCAAUGGACGAGAGUCUGAACCAGCCAAGUAGCGUGCAGGAUGACGGCCCUAUGGGUUGUAAACUGCUUUUAUAAGGGAAUAAAGUGAGCCUCGUGAGGCUUUUUGCAUGUACCUUAUGAAUAAGGACCGGCUAAUUCCGUG
Molecule: ribosomal RNA, 506 nt
Filed under: uncultured bacterium
Lineage: Bacteria
Description: bacterial SSU rRNA
Rfam family: Bacterial small subunit ribosomal RNA
Source: RNAcentral